RNAcentral lists this ribosomal RNA (497 nucleotides) under uncultured bacterium. RNAcentral describes it as "partial 16S ribosomal RNA". It matches the Rfam family "Bacterial small subunit ribosomal RNA", at positions 28 to 507 of the family's 1533-position model. The record is from RNAcentral.
GAUGAACGCUGGCGGCGUGCCUAAUACAUGCAAGUCGAGCGAACAGACGAGGAGCUUGCUCCUCUGACGUUAGCGGCGGACGGGUGAGUAACACGUGGAUAACCUACCUAUAAGACUGGGAUAACUUCGGGAAACCGGAGCUAAUACCGGAUAAUAUAUUGAACCGCAUGGUUCAAUAGUGAAAGACGGUUUUGCUGUCACUUAUAGAUGGAUCCGCGCCGCAUUAGCUAGUUGGUAAGGUAACGGCUUACCAAGGCAACGAUGCGUAGCCGACCUGAGAGGGUUAUCGGCCACACUGGAACCGGGACACGGUCCAGACUCCUACGGGAGGCCGCCGUAGGGAAUCUUCCGCCAUGGGCGAAAGCCUGACGGAGCAACGCCGCGUGAGUGAUGAAGGUCUUCGGAUCGUAAAACUCUGUUAUUAGGGAAGAACAAAUGUGUAAGUAACUAUGCACGUCUUGACGGUACCUAAUCAGAAAGCCACGGCUAACUACGUG